RNAcentral lists this long non-coding RNA (29645 nucleotides) under Marmota monax (woodchuck). Lineage: Eukaryota; Metazoa; Chordata; Mammalia; Rodentia; Sciuridae. The record is from RNAcentral.
ACGAACAGGGAAGCUGAGAGGCAACAAGCCAGUGUGGGAGUUUGUAGCCCACACAUCUUGAUAAGGGUAGAGAAUUUAGCUACUCAGCAAGUCAUUGAAAGGCACUUGCAAGGACAGGACGGGUUCUAGUUAGAGAGCAGCAGGUUGAAAUACAAGAUCUGAGAAGUUGAAUAAUGAAUGCUAGGUGUGGCAAAGUCCAGAAGUAUGUAAAUGAAGCAGGUGGACAUAAAGUCUGACCAAACCAAUAAGGCGAAGGUUUGCAAUGGCCAUCAGAGAAGACAUGGAAAGACUCAGAAUCAUGGCUUGAAUGGAGUGGUGAGGAGAGUCAAACAUGGGGAGAUGAAUAGAAGUGAAGAAGGAGCAGAGGAAUGGCACACAGAGGUGACUGCAGGCAGAUGGAACAGCAAGGCAAGGUCACGGGCGCCCAGAGGAACAUGGCAGGUCUUAGAACUAUGAGUGCAAGCGUACCUGGGGGCACAGGGCAGAGGAAGAGACGGCCUGGGAGAGAAGGAGACUGCAGAGACGGGGACUUCCACUGUAUCACAGAGGAACUUGUGAAACUAUAUUUCUCAACAGUAAGUAAACAAAUAGCUAGAUGUUCACAAGCAUGUGUCCAGCCUUUGUGAUUUAUGUAGCAGGUUGUAUACCAGCAGGGAAGUGAAAUGGUACUGUUAUCAUAUCUGAUUUGAAAAAGUUAUUCUUCAUCUUCAGAAAACUUCUAGAAUGAGAGACUUGAUGAAGAGGUGACUUUAAAAUGAAUAAAGAUAUUUGCAGCAAGGGGAAAAAAAACGAGAAGACUGCCGGAGGAGACAGAGUUGGUCCAUAAUUAAUAUGAACAUCAAUCUUUUUGAAACGUUAGGAGGAAAGCCUAUUCUUGCUGAAAUAAUUUGAUUCACUGCCUCUUAAAAUAGCACAGGAGGGAAGAGAAAGGGGCAUUGGCAAGAAGAGGAGUGUGAAAACAAGAGUGCUUGCUGUCUUCCCAUGUUUCCUUUGGUGCACAAAGUCCUAGGAGGGGAGAUCCUGUCUAUGUUACAUAUAGGGUCAGUCUGCUCCUGGCCCCAUCCCCUGGGAGAAGCUGUCACUCACUCGUUGUUAUGGUUUAGAUAUGAAGUGUCUCCCAAAAGCUCAUGUGCAAGACAAUACAAGAAAGUUAGAGGUACAAUGGUCAGGUGAUGAGAGCCUUAGCCUAAUCAGUGCAUUGAUCCUCUGAUAAGAAUUAAGGGUAACGGGUGGUAAAUGUAGGUAGGUGGGGAGUGGCUGGAGGACCUGGGUCACUGGGGGCAUUCCUUUGGCUUAUGUUUGUCCCUGGUGAGCAAGAGCUUUCUGUUUCCUGGUUGUCAUGUCCUGAGCUGUUCUCCUCCUCUACACCCUGAGUAGCAGAACUGGCCGCCAUCUAUACACUGAGACCUCUGAAACCAUGAACACCCAGUAAACUUUUCCUCCUCUGAGUUGUUCUUUUCAGAUCUUUUGGUAACAGUGGCCAAAAAGGUGACUAAAACACUGGUUCAAGCAGUAACGAUAGCUCUGGGAAACAGGUGUUCCUUGGUCGAUGUUUAUUUCAAAUGAAGUUCUGUUCCACUGGUAUUUUAACCCAAAGAACCAUCUUCAUGAUGCAAUCUAGCAACAUUCCAGACAAAUGGUGACAAUAUGUAUCACAUAACAUCAAUUUGGCAUAUUGCACAAUAUAGCAUUAUAAUUAUCUUUUAUUGAAAGGCUUUGGGAUAGGAAUAUGCUAUAUAUGUAUCAUUCCUGCCCAUCCUUAUACCAGCCCUAUGAGGUAGACAUACCCCGCAUUUUGGAGAGAGGGAAAUAGAGACCCAAAGAGGGUGUCAAUAUUUUAGAGGUAAGUGGGAUCUUUGUGGCUGUGCAUCCUGUGAUCUUGUCACAUGUCACACUAUCUUCUGAGCAUCAGCAUCUCUAGUCAAUGGCACUUCCUUAGAGAGGGUCUACAGAUGACAUGACAAAUUACACCCUGUUGCAGCUCACAGCUAUGCUCUUUCCACCUCAGUGGCUCUGUGAUCAGAGAUCAAACUUGAGACCCCAGGCUAGUACAAUAAAUCCAUGCCAUCCUUUACAACCAUACCUGAAAGCUAAGCUCUGUCAGGAAGUGACUCAAGGCAAAGUGGUGAUUUUUGCCCUUCCCAAUACUGGAGAAAGACAAUAUGCCUAGUGAUUCUCUUCAUUCAUUCAUUCAUGCAUUCAUUCAUUCAACAUGCAUUUAGCAAGCACCAUCUAUGGGCUCUACUAUGGUGGACAUCCAAAAUAUACAGAACAUUAAAAAGGUGUCUGGGCCCUCAGUGUGUUCACAGGUGAGGGAAGGCAAAGCCAGCCAUGAGGAUAUGCUAUUGCAAAGCAGUGUGGCAGAGCAAGGAUAUUGUCAUGCAAACUCUAAGGAAGUGUGCAGAGUGAGAGAAACAGAGAGGAGCAAGUGUGUCAUAGUUGGGCCGAUGGGUCUGGCGGAAUACCCCUGUUCUCACAUUCACUGACUGUUCACUGUUUCGGCAGAAGCGAUGUACAUCAGCUCUAUGCAGGCCUCAGUCAGGUUGGUCCAGGAGCAAAGGAAAGAUCAAAGACUCACCUUCCAAAAUCAUCUAAUUUUACAUUAAAAUUUUUUCUAUUGAAAUUCUAGCUAUACUAAAAUAAGAACAGAAUAUACUUGUUAUUGCUGAUUUCUCAAACUCAGUCCUCUCUUUCCAGAUUUCUGAAGAUACCUUUAUUUUGAAUACAAAAAUUAGGAGUUGUACUCCCUGCACACAACAGAAGUUCUGGAAAAUAUAGGUAAGGUAUUCUGUUUCCUUUUUUCUUUAUAAAAAUAUAGUCUGGCAGCAAGCUCUGGUGAGAUUGUUUUGGAUGUUCACAAAAUUCCCUGGGUUCUCUUUCUGUCCUUACAGAGUAUGUUAAGAGAACUACUGAUGUUCCAGAUGGAACUUGUGUGGCCUAGGCAGCAAAAAGAGACAAGCAAAGAAAAAGUGACUGCCCCAGGGGUGGGCAGCAGAAAGAGGGCUGCACCAGCCCCGUCUGACUCCUUGUAAAGCAGCUUCUGUGGAAGACCACACAAUAGUUUCUAUUUAUGUUUCAAAGACAACUAGUGUGUCAUAAACUCAUCUAAAUGGACUCCCACCUGUGAGGUUCUAGAAUAAAAAAAACAAUUGAAUAACCAGUACCGCAGGUGCAAAUAUUACUCUCAUACAAUCACCAACAUUUAUUUUUAGAAAAUUGCAUUGCUUUGGUGUUUUAGGGAAACAUUUAUAAAUCACUAUGUUAAUAAAUUCUAAUAUAACCAGAAGAAAAACAGCUAGUGUGUUCAGCUCCACUAACACUAACACAGAGAUGUUUAUGGCUCCAAAACCAAAAAGACCUGCAGACAGACAGGAAGGAAAUUAAGGUAUUGCUGAUUCAUUUGUACCAACUGAUUCAAUUUAUGAAUUUACAUUCAUUAUAUUAUUCUGCUUAAUAACUUUAUGUUGACAUGUAUAAGCACUGGUUCCUAAACUAUGUAUCUUUCUCUUAAGAAAAAUGCAAAGGGUGGAAAGGAAAGAGGCUUAUAUUUUUGUGCUUUGAUUCACUAAGCAUUAGAGAAAGAAAGAAAAUACAGCAUGAAGCAAAAACGUAAUCUGAUUUGAAGUUGGUAUUCUCUGCCUAGCAAUUCCAACUAGCAAAGCAAUCUACUGACUCAAAAUAGUACCCUUCUUAAAGAGGAAACUGGAAUUUGUGUACAUGUGGGUAUUUAUGUAUGUAUUAUGUAUCUACAUAUGUAUCUAUAUAUGUAUAUAUAUGUAUAGUAUAUUCAUUUAAAAUAUAGGCAUAUGUUAUGCACAGGUGUCUUGAACAUCUCAUUUAACAUCUCAAACAUGUAUUUCCUUCUAAAAUAGGUGCUUGUAUUUUAGGUGGCUUUAUUUGUUUGCUUUACUUUUGCUAAAGAACACUACCCACUCCUUGAGGCAAAUCCUUCCAUCAGGAGGAGACUGCUCAGUAUUUUAUGUAGGGGAAACCUCGAAAUGUUUAUCAUCACAGGAAUGAAUUAGUUCAUCAAACUAUUUCCAUUGAAAAUAUUUGAUCAACUUAGUCUCAUACAAUCAUUUUAAUCUCAGUCAUUCUAAUAUUUGAAUUUAGUAAUUGCUGAGUCUACUAUAUUUUAUAAAAGUACCAUUGAACAUAUUAUAGCAAAUUAAAUAUUUUUCUAAUUGAAUAGCUAUUUUGUCAAUUUGUAUCUAUUUAUCAGCUAUAAUACAUGAUAAGACAUUAACUUAUAUAUGUUAUAUAAAACUGACCGCAGAGGUCCCCAAGCUUCAGCGGGAGCACACAUUUGUAUUCUCAAUGCUUGCAACAGUUGGUGGGCAAUUAUAAUCUCAUGUAGUAAGUUUUGCAACAGAAGCAAACGAUCUGAACCUUGAUUUUCUGAAAUAUAAUUUGAGUAGGGAAGGUUGAGGGGAAAUAUUUAGACAUGGCCAAACUCAACAUCUUGGUUCCACAAAAGUGAGUAAACACACACACACAUACACACACACACACACACACUUUCACUUGGGCCUGCUACUCUAACACAACUGAAGUGGAUGAUGAUGAUUAUUUUUCCUAAACUAAUUACUUUUUGGAGUUCCUUAGUGGAAUAGGUAUGAGAGUUACACUCAGUCUUUUAAAAGGGCUUUGGAUUCUUCUCAGCUCUUCAAAAAAUAUGUUUACACAAUUGUUUUGAAUAAAUAUUAAAUCAAUGUACUAUGCUAGUUUCUAAGAGAUGAAAACUAAAAAUCAUUUAAGUGCAAAUAUUUUAUUCUUCUGACUUUGGAAGAGUAACCAGGUCUUUUUUAAAGCUGAUAUGCAGCAUGGAGUAUGUGUGAGUGAGCAUAUGUACCUGAACAUGCAUACCUGUGGUAGGGGUUGUGGGGAGGAGGAGGUUUAUAUUUCCUGUUAUUUUUUUUUUAAAUCCCUUUAAAAAUGUGGUAUACUUGCAGAAGCUAUUGAUGUUUCUUGCACCUCUCAUUUUAAAAGAAUGUAGAGCUCCUGCUUCCUGAAAAAGAAAAAGUUCUAGGAAUGCUUUCUAACAUCUUUGAAGAUGCUUCAAUCUGGCCACUGGAUUAGUUUUUAUUUGAGGGAGGCAGUACCUGCUGUGGACGCCUACAAGGCUGGACAGAUGGAGAGGAGCAGACGUAGACUGGGUGAUUUGGACAUGGUGCCUCGCUGUUAAAAUGAGCCCUUCACACUUCUGUGAUCAGGGUACUGUGAGAAUGCAAAGUCAGUAUAUGUGAAGUGCGCACCCCAGUGAGUGUCCUGAAAGUACAAGCAACCACUAUCAUUUAGUCAUUGAAAAAUACCUUGUUAGUUAUCCCUCUUUCAUUAAUUGACUUUGUUUAAUUAAAAUCAACUGAAGUAUAAGAAAAGAAGCAAACUUCUAGUAUGAAAAGGAAAUGACCAUUGCAACAGGCCCCAUCCAUUUCCACAAUGUUAUUUACAAAUAUUCCUUAAAAUUUCAAGUAAUUUUUUUUCUUACCCAGGGUGUAAUUCAGAAAGUAAUGAAUAUUAAAUAGAUAUAACUGACAAAAUAUUAGCUGGAUAAGUUAGGUCUAAAUAAGUUGGACAAAUAUUUUCAAAAUAUUCCUUUUAUUCCUUGAUAAAGAAAUAUUUUGAGUUUCUCUAAUUGAAACAUUUUGAAAAGUAUGUUUCCUGUCAAGCUGUCUAAAACAUAUCUUUUUCUUUCUACUAUCUCUUUGCAGUGGAAAAAAGAGAGAACAUUCAUGAAUAGAACUAAUGAGACUAAAGUACAAGAAUUUGUAAAAGUGUGAAUUCCACUUGGAAGUUAUAAAAGAAGACUUGUAUAAAUUAAUAAAUAUACCAUGUUUCUAAAAGAAAGAUAAAUAUCAUAAAGGUAUCAGUUCUCCAUAGUAAUAUAUCAAGUCAAAAUGCCAAUAGUAUUUUUCUUAUUAGUCACCUAAAAAGUUGUAAAAUCCAUCUAAAAUAAAUAUUUUUAAAAAAUGAGAAGCAACUCAUCCUAAAAUACGUUAGUGUGUAGUACAAAGUUGAAAUGGUUUCAACAGAGGAGCAGUUCAUAGAUCUUGGUGGAAGAGGGUGAUAUUCUAACACUAGAUCAUUUCCUUGACUAAGACUUUCUAUGCAUUUAACCUGGCACCACAAAUCAUAAAAAUACUUUGAUUUAUCAAAAUAUUCCUACUAACUGAGUAACAACAGGGAUUUAGGUCAAUUUAGAUUCAGGUGACACCAUUUACCCAUAUAAAUAAAGCCUUCAUGAACUACACCGUGAAAAUGUAGAAAGAAUUAUGGGUAUAUCAGAAAGUAUAACAAAAGAAAACAGUAUAAAUAAAACAAAAACUUUCAGAAGAAAGAGAAAAUGACAAUUUCUAAACCUGACUUAUAAUUUGAACCCUGUGUGGACUCGGCUGUCUCCAACCCUCCCUUUGUGGGACCUGCUCCUUCACAGUUUUCCUCUUGUCCAAGAAGAUGUAUCCUUCAUCCUGGUUAUUCUAUUCCUCUGUACAUCUCCUAAUUUGAUAUCCCAGGUUCUCAGCACAAAUCCAGGAAAGGGAACAAUAAGAAAAUGAUAGCCUUUAUUCGGGGAGCCUGUUGCUUUUUUCACAACUACUUCCUAGACCAAGCAAGGUGUUUGUAGCUAUAGGUCCUCAGUUCUAUUCAUUGAAUAAACAAAUACUCGGGGGAGAAGAAGGAUGGCAGUGGCCAUCAGUGGAGUUGGAAAAGGCAACAGCAGGGAAAAAAAUGAUUGAAAACUCACUCAGUUGCAAUUUGCAGAUGAAGAAACCGGAGAUCAGAAUAAUGAAAUAAGUCCUUGAGACCACAUAGCUUACUAAUGCAAAGGACUAAAUGAAUGGAAGUUAGUUUUUCCACUUGACACUUUUCUGAAUAUGCCAGAAAACCCAAUACACAACUAAGGUUACAACUACAGAUCUGAUCAUUCAAAAAAAUUCUCUUCAUAUUAAAAAAAAGAUGUAGACAUUCUAUGAACUUAACCAGAGAGGGGUUUUGAGGCAAAUACAUUCUAUCUAUAGACUGAAAAUAAUUUUGUCAAGUUUCCUGAACUUUGUUUGAUGAGAUCUGAACAUAAUCUUUUUGCCAAAUAUAAGGUUGAUUUUGGGUGGAGUAGGAUAGGAACUCAUUUCUCCUUGGUUCCUAUUUAAUGCUAUUUCCAACAAUGCUUAUACUGACCAGAACAUUUCUUCCUAAAAUACAAAGAUACUGAGGAAAGGAAACAGGACACAAAUUGCAUCCAAUUUUAAGAAUAAGUGAAGAGUAUUGUAAAACACCAUUUACUUAAUCAACAUUUAUUUUAUUCAGCUUCUAUUUAUAAUCACCUACUGUAUCAGGGCCCAAUACAAGGUGCAAGAGAUGUAAUGAUAAACAGAAGCUAUCCCUGUCCUUAUAGAAUUUUCCAUGUAAGGAUCAGACAUGAAAUUAAGAUAUCACAAUGUGUUCUCUUGGGAUCCAGCUACUUAAAAAUAUAAACGUGACCACAUAUCUGGAUUACCCUGGUUAAUUAAAAACAGCUUAGGAAUUGAGAUCUUCAGACAAAUAUAUAAGUAAAAAAUAAUCUUUGAUGGAAACUAUGUUCAAAUUAUUAGCCUCAAGAGUUUAUUUUUUAAUUUAUGUUUAGAAAAAUUUCAUCUUAACAACCACCAAGAUAAACCAGACUUCAACCUCCUGAACAAUACAAGUCUCAUUAGAAUGUGCACAAAGUUGACUGCAAUGAAGAAAAAAAUAAGAUCUUUAAGAAAGAUAAAGUAGAAAGUUUUAGAAAUUUUUGAGGAAUAGCAAGUUCUUUAACAUUUAUCAAAUGACUAUACAGAUAGCUACACAUAUCUAUACUGUUAAAUGAGUUUACAUAUCUAUUAUCUCAUUAGGACUCCAGGACCUGAUACCUAAGAAGUUUGAUAUCACUGUGGGGUGGUAAUGGGGGAAGCAAUUUUCAUCAACUCUUCUAUGGAAGAAGAAAUUCUUUUGUACAGCAAAAUGACAGAAAUGGUGGUUCUUCCAGAAAAGCACAACUAAUACAGGACAAAACUAAACAAGGACACCAUCUCUUGGUGGCGCCUCAUUAAGAUGAGUCCCAGGGAGUGCCUAGAAAUUCCGACAGGCAAUAUUCUCUUCCUCAAACUCUGUAUUUUCUUAACUGAGAGAAAAGAAAGGAGGACCGUGGAGAACUGAACUCUAAGGGAAAGUGAUGCUGGCCCAGUCUGACAAGAUCAGAGGCCGGGGUGACAGGAAGAAAGACUUUAGGAGAAAGCCAGACCCAAGGAGAACUUAGAACUCUUUUUAAGAACAACAGACCUCUUGUGCUGUGACAAGAAUUGCUUAUUUCCUCUAAAAACUUUGUUGAAGUCACAUAUAACGUUGGCAGAUAGUCUUAGAGGAUUGCUGUACCCCCAAGCAUUAUGCUCCUGGCUUUAUGUCUUUGCCUUUGUAUCUUCACAAUGAAUUAGCCUUGUCAUCUCUUCUGUCCCUGACAGUUUGACAUGCAUCCAUGUGACCCCACAGCUGUACCAUUCUUGACAUCUAGAUGAGGCUCUAUGGCAGGAAUCUCCUUUUGGAUUUGUUCCUUUUUUUUUUCUUUUUUUCUUUCUUCAUUAGCCUACCGUUCUUAUUUGUGGAACUUCCAAAAGUACAAGUGAUCCAAAAACCUCGCUCUUUUAUUUUUUAUUUUCUUUUUUAGUUGUAGAUGGACACAAUACCUUUAUAUAUUUAUAUGUGGUGCUGAGGAUAGAACCCAGUACCUCAUACAUGCAAGGCACACACUUUACCACUGAGCCACAACCACAGCCCCCCAAAACCUCUCUUUUAAAUGAGAGGAGAAAUGUGAUAUUUAUCCAAAGUACAACUUUUACAAAAGGGCUUGUGCUCACACUGGUGAAUCUCAAGCUUGAGGUAACAUUGGAAUAGUGUCAAGGUCUUGGUUGUCCUUAGAUCAUCAUCAAACACCCAGUGCUGGUCUACACAGGGCAGCAAUUGAGAAAAGUCAGGAGGCAUUUCUGAUGAGGGAGAAAUCAAUGUUUCCUGGCCUUGUCUCUCUGCUUUUAAUUUCCACAGAUGUGUAAGGUUGCUGUUCUGAUCAAUCUGACCAGGCAUAUGAUAGCAAUAAUUUAUCACGGAGUCACUAGAAUUAAGGAAUAUAUGGGAAAGUCAGCUACAAACCUAGGUGAAUAUUGACUUUGUCAUUGUAACAUAGGGAGAAGAUUUGAGAGAGAAAAAGUUAAGGAUAGAAUUGCCAAAUAGCAAUAAAAGGUCAAAGGAAACUGUGUAAAUCCAAUUGCCCUGUCUUAGUUCUUUGGACUGAGUGUUUGGACCAUUUUCCUGGUUACACAGGCCAUCUCUUUUUAGAACAAAGAGAAAAGAGGAUUGAUGUCUAUUUCUUAUAAUGUUAGCCACACAACUUCGCACUGUGAGCCGGGUGUGUGUUGAUGUGUUCAUGUACGCACACCCAAAGUACUCAAAGUAAGCUCUGCACAUUGCUGCCAUAAUAGAUUUAAUCCUGAAAGUAGCUCGGACACACACCCAUUUGUCUUUAACUUGAGAUCCCUGGCUCCAUAUCCUACUUUUAUGAAUUCCAGUCUCCCCUUUGCUUGGGGAAUUCAGAGGAUUCGUCUCCUAGAGAGGAGCUGAGUUUAUUGCCCUUGGCUUCCUUUUUUUUCCUUCAACCAGUCCUUAGACUUUCUGAAGGAGCUGUUGAAGUUCUAAAAAUGAAGAGUAGCUUUUUGCAGAAUCUGGAGAGGGUUGAGGUGGACAGACAAGAACAUCUGGAUUUCUGAAUACCUGGAUUUUCUAAUUGCAACACAAGGAGUGUCUGUUGGGCCUCUGCAUAGGCUUUUUUAAAGUUUUUUUUUUUUUUUUUUUGUUUUUUUUUUUUUAGAGAGAGAGAGAAUUUCAAUAUUUAUUUUUCAGUCUUCGGCAGACACAACAUCCUUGUUUGUAUGUGGUGCUGAGGGUCGAACCCGGGCCGCACACAUGCCAGGCGAGCACGUUACCGCCUGAGCCACAUCCCCACACCUGCAUAGGCUUUUAAUGUUAAUUUCCUGCUUCACUAGAAGCCUUAGCCACUUCAAAACAUCCCGGUUUGCUGGCCUCUAUUUGGUACAAAUACUGCCCUGAAGAUAUUGGGGUCCUUUUCAUUAGGAAUCCCAGCAUUUACAAGGAUAUCCAAACUCAGGAGCAUCUGCAAAGGGAAAAUGAGAAAGGGUGGUGACAAAGUGCUCCAAGCUGAUGGCAGAGAUAGAAUUAUUAUUAAUGGGAAAUCAUUGAAUUUUGGUUCCAGUUAAGCGUGAAACAUUAAGCAUUCCUCUAGCGUUUCUCUCUGUGGUAUUAAAUUGACUACAAAUUGUGAUUUUUAAUGGAAAAUAUGAUGAAGCAUUCAGCUGCAGCCCAACCUACUCAGCUCAAAUUCCCUCUUCCAUUGUUUAUUUGCUAUUUUAAUACUCCAGGCUUUAGAAACAAGAAAACGGUUCUUAAAGGUUUUGGGAAAAUUUGCUAAGAAUCCAAGCUAAGUGAAUCAUCACCAUUCAAUGUCACUUUUUAAAGUUUCCACUUAGCUUUCCAUUAGGUCAGAAAAGGAAUAUUUAUAUUUUUUAGUGCAUCUCAGCUCUUUGGGUACAAGCAUGAAAUGGCUUUAUUUUUCCCAAAAAAAACUGCUUCCCAACUGUGCUGUGUCAUUCCCCUUCCCUAAUGGGUAAUAUCUUUCCUAAUAAUAUCUUAGUCUUACUUCUAGAUUGUUAUAGCUUGGAUCUGGAAUGUUCCCCCAAAGGCUUAUUUCUUGAAGACUUGUCCCCAGCUGAUGACACUACAGGGAAGUGAUUGAGACCUUUAGAGGCUGGACCUCUCUGGAAUACCUGGGUCACUGGGUAUGUGUCUUUGAAGGUUUUAUUUUGUUUCUGGACCUUUUCUCAUUUUUAUAUACUUCUUGGCAAUGAUAUGAGGAGCUCUGUUAUAUCAUGUAUCCCCUCCCAUGAUAUUCUGUCUCACAACAGGCCUAAAAGCAAAGCAGCCAGCCACCACCCAUGGACUGAAACCUGUAAAACCAUGAGUCAGAAUAAUUCUUCCCCCUUAAGUUGGUUUUUCUCAAGUCACUGUGAUAAAAAGCUGACUAACACAGAAAAUUGGUACCAGAAGUAGUAUCACUGCUGUGACUGCAAUUGAUGAUGUGGUUCAGGAGCCUUUGGAACUGGUAUGUGGGAGAAAUUUGGAAAGGUUUAGAGAUGCAGAAUAGAGAAUCCCUAAAAUGUUAUAAGAAGAACUUAAUGGACAAUUCUAAUGUGAACUCAGAAGACCAGAAUAGUGCUAUGGAUACAAACAGUAAAGGUUGUGCUCAUGAGCUUUCAGAUAAAAAGUGAGAACUCCAUUGAGAAUUGGACUAGAAGCCUUUCAUGUCACAUUAUGGCAAAGAUCAUGCCUAUAUUUUGUCCAUGCCCUGAAACUUUGUGUGAAUCUGAGUUUAAAGAUGAUGGACCAAUUAAUCUGGCAGACAAAAUUUCAAGGCUGCACAGCAUUCAGGUAGUGGCAUGGGCAUUGAUGGGUUUUUUAGACAGAUUGACUGUUGAGAAUUUAGAGUAAAAAUCAGAGCAAAAAGUUUUGAAAUUUUUACAGUUUGUCCCCAAAAGAAGCAAGUUUAAAGUUAGGGCCAAGGAAGCUGUGGUUGCCAAAGAGAUUAGCACCUCUAAAAAGAAGCCAAAUAUUUUAUACCAAGUGCCUUCAGAGCAUCUCAGAAAUUUUCCAGAUGCUAUCCCUUGCAGGUUCAAGGAUGUAAAGUUUAAAUUUGUCUUAAAGACUUUGCUUUGGAAGGGAUCACUGGGCACUCUCUUCACAUAGAGCCACCUAAGAAGUUGUUUCCCUAGGAUUCAUUUCAUCAUGCUCAAUUGUCCAGGCACUCAGAGGCCACAGCAGCCAAGAUUCAAUGGAGCCAGGCUACUGCUCAAGCAUUUGGCAGAUCUUGGUGUCAUCACAUGAUGCUAGUUUUGCAGGAAUGCAGAACACAAGAGUUAUGGGGCCACAGAUUCAUCCUCUGAGAUUUCUAAAGAAAGCUCAGGAGGCCAGGCAUUUUAUAAGAGAGCCAGAGUCCCUGAUAGGGUGAUGCUUGAAGCUAUGAGAGUAAAGGCAAAGCUUCAGUGGAGACCCCAAGAAUUUAAAGAUGCCAGAAACAGGGAGCAUCUACCAAGGUAAGCUACAAGCAGUGGCCAGACCCAGUUCAAGAGGAGAGCCAUGUGGGCUGCAGCCAGCAAGACCAUUCAGGAGGAGCUGCCCAAGCCUCCAUGAGCUCAUCUUUCCACCAUGUGCCCUGAAUGACAGACAUGGAGGUACAAGAUUUGCUUUGUUCUGAUUCUUCCUUGUUAUUCUCGUAUUUCUUCCUUUUGGAAUGGGAGUUUUAUCCUGUGCCAUUGUGGGUUAUAAGUAUGUAACUUGUUGAUUUUAAAAAAAUUUUUUACAGGAGCUCACAGCUAAGAGUUUGCCUUGAGUCUCAGAGGAGACUUUUGGACUUGGAUUUUUGAGCAAUGCUAGAACUAUUAAAAGUUUGGAAACUCUUACUGCUGGACCAAAUUCAUCUUGCUCUGUGAGAAGGGCAUGAGCAUUUGGGGUCCAGUUUUGCUCUGGAACAUCACCCCAAAGACCUAUGUGUUGAAGGCUUGCCCCCAACUGGUGGCACUACUGUGAGGUCUAAACUUUAAGAGGUGUGUCCUAGUUGGAAUAGGUGGUCACUGGAGGUGUGUUUUUGAAGGGCUUAUCUUGUCCAAGAGUCUCUUUAUCUCUGAAUCUCCUUUCUGGUCACCAUGAGAUGAGUAACUUUGCUUUACUAUGUAUUCCCCCCAUGAUAUUCUAACUCACUACAGAUCUAAAAGCAAUGGAGCUAGCUGCCCAUGAACUGAAACCUCUGAAACCAUGAGCCCCAAUACAUUUUUACUCCUUUAAGUUGUUCUUUUCAGGUAUUUAGUCACAGUGGCAGAAAGGCGACGAACACUUGAUUUUCAGUCACAUUAAAGUAUAGGGGAGUCCUAUUCUGGUAUACAGACUUUACUUGUAAAGUAUUGUCUACAUCUGAAUUAAACUUCUUUUCUCCUUUACCAGUUCUGGAGUGUGUUGUGGGCUGGGGAGAGAAGGGGUGGCUAGUUCCAGAUAAUCUCUGACUCCUAUCUGUUUCCUAGGUAAUAGUUUCUGAGAUGUUGCAUACACCAAGGAAUGAUGGACAGAUAGGACCCUGCCUGAUUUACAUAUUCUUAUCAGGAAAAGAAAAAAGUUAGAAAAUUUGCUGCAUUACUUCAGCCUCUUUGACACUCUCAUGGUCUCUUUUCUAAUUCUUUACUUGGCAACAUAAGCUACUCAGGGGGUGAUAGGCAAGGUCACCAGCAAAGAAGACAGGCAGGGAAGGGUAUGCAGUGGCAGCAUGCAUCUCACAGGCUUUCUACAUAAUUUUGAGUGAUUCUCUUGGAACUCAUCCCCUUCCGUUGCUCAUAGAAAAAGAAGCACUCUCCUGGUGGGAAGUAACAUCCUUCAAAAGGCUGGUUUCCUUUCUCUUUGUGUGCCCUGUGUUGGUCAGUGGUGAGCACUUGGCAGGGGUGGUGAUGCUGGGUUAGUUCUGUGUCUUUCAGCAAAUCCUGCAGGAAUGGCUGGAAAUGAGAUGCAUUCACUACUUCUCAUUCUUUGGUUGGGACUUAACUUUUCAUAUGAUGAGACAUGAAAAAAAUCUCAAUUAAUAGCAUCCUAAAUUUAGUUGUGACUAUAAUCUUUUGCUCCCCUGCUUCUAAGAAGAGUCUUGUUUAGAUAAGAGCAGUGUGAGUACCUCUAACCACAGCUGGGCAGCUGUAUUCUAAUCAUUCCGCUCUUAAUGGAGCUGCCUUGGUGUAGUCUUCAGUCCAAACAAGCUUUUCCGUGCAUGCUGGUUUCUUGGAUAGAUUAGAUUAACCUUUCUUUAUGUUCCUAGCUAACGUGCAUUCAGUUUCACUCAGCACCUGUCCACUGCCCCUCAUUUCCACACACAUACUCUCUCUUUCAUCAGUGAUUGCUCCAUCUCGUACCUUGAGAUGGAAUUGCUGAAGCACUAAUAAAUCCCCAUGAUUUCCAACCUAUCUUCACAUGCCCCGACUUGCAGCCUUCCCUAGAAUCCCUUUUUCAUCAGGAGAGAGCUGAUCAUUAAUCUUCCCUUUACGGACAAAUGCAGCUGAAGCCCCAGGCCCCACGGCCUGAUUCUUCCCCUUUCCUCCUGACCUUCUCUCUCAUCUUUACUUCUUCCAGUGUAUGGUGAUGAAUAAUUCAGAGGUUUGCCUUUGUUCCACCAUAGGUGUGGAUUCUCUAAACUCUUCAAGGCAGUGUUCAAGCUAAGUGUCUCUGUAUGACUCAAGAAGUUAGUAUCAAACUCGGCAUAGAGACUAAAGGUACCUUCAAAUGUUUACUCCUGACACCAGAAGUUUUAUGGUUAAAGUGACCACAAGUGACACAGAAUUCACCAAUCAGAAAAUCCAGUGCCCCAUUGGGCUUCUGUUAUCCUAGAAAUCAUAAGAGAAGAUAGAUUAUAUCAACAGAAUGAAGGGUUUAUCCUAAACCAAGUGUUCAUUUUUACUGAGUUAGACAAUGCCUUUUCAAAGAUGGAGAGUAUUUUAAAAGUGUGUUUGAUUUCAUUUUAUUCAGCAAGCACAUUAAUGAACACAGUCCUUAACCUUGAGAAUCUCCCUGCCAAGGAGGAUGGUCAAACAUCUACCCAAGUAGUUCCAGGAAAGGUCGAUGGGAUGAUGGGCAACAUCCUGAGAAGGAAGAGUUUGGGAGCAUGUGAGGAGGCCACCUGGGUUAGAACCUGGAUGGUUACUGAAGUGGGUGGUGCAGAGCCAGGGACGAGAGCCUGAGCAAAAACAAAGAAAGUAGAACUCAGGGUGCAUUUCAGGAACAGCAAUUAGUCCACUGACUUUGAAGACUGGGAGCUGAAGGAAAAAAGGGGAUUAAAGAAAUGGGGAGAGGUAAUGCUGAAGACCAGAUUUAGUUUGGAUCUGAUUAUAUAAGCAAAAAUGUGUUGCUUAAGAGUCCCGGAGGAGGAGAAAGUCCAGUUAGACAGUUAGACGUACUCACAUUUGAUUAGGACAACAACCCAAAGAGGUAGGUACUGCCCUUAUCCCUGUCCCACAAAUGAGGAAAUUGAGAGUCUAAGGAAUUUAGCCAUGCGCCAAGGAUUUGGGGCUACCUACAGACCAAGUAGAAACUGAACCCACUGCUUAUUACUCACGCAGCCUUUGACGUCAGAUAGUUUGUGCUCAGGUUUCAGGCAAGGGCAGGUGUUAGGGCUGCAGGACUUGGAGAGAUAGUAAACUAAAUUAGGGCUGCAUUUGGGAGUGCAGACAGGGAAAGAUUUCUGGAAGCACAGAGUGCUGAAGGUGGAGCGGGGAGCUUUAUGCUUUUCAUAAUGUGCCAAUGCCGGGAGCACUGGGUGCCACAGAAGUUAGAUGAAAGUGGAGUAGUGCUUCAAAGGAGUGAGAGAUUGCCUUCAUCACAGAUUAAGGAAGGCCUCAGGAAUGAGCACAGUGGCCUUUUGCUAUCUGUAUACUCUGCUGCAUCCCUACAGCCCAGAGUCAAACAUGCCAUAGACAGCCGUGCUCAGGAACUGAAUGAAUGAGGCGUGAAUGAGUGCACGUAGGAUGAAGAGGAAGAGUCAGGCUGAACGGUGUACUGUGAGGACAUAUUUCCUCUGUGUAUACUUCUCCUUUCUCCUUAGAUGUGGUCACUCCCCUCAAAGAUGUUUGCAAAUGAUUUUUUAUUGUGUUCAUUUCAAUAAACAUAUCCUACCUGGAAGACUGACUUUCUGCUAGAAGUCUUAUCUAUAGAUGUCUAUUCAGGGCUGCAAAAGUGGUAGAGCAGGAGAAGAAAGGGACUCAGAAUCAAGCAGACUUGGUCUUGACUCCUGCCACCUGAUUUUGGACAAGAGAGAUACCUCAACCUUUAUUUCUCCAUCUGUAAUAAAAGAGUGAUCAACAGCUCUUGAAAAUAACCGUCCUUAAUGUAAUAAUUAGUCUAUUUUCACCCCCACAAAAAUACAAGUACUGGGCAUGCGCACCAUGCCUGCUGAGUGUAUGCUCCAAGAUUUAGGAGGAAAGUUCAAACCCAAAGGAAAACCUGACCACCACCAUACUGGAAAACCAUUUGCUUGGUAUAAAGAAAAACUGAUCUAAAUAUGGAAUUUAAACAUUAAAAUUUCAUUCUUAGAGUGCAUGGCUGAAUUGAGUGAUGCUCUGGGAUCACUCCAUUAUGCUGUUAAAAUCUCUGCUUCAUAUUGGAGAAGUGUGUUUAAAAACUUGAUGAUCCAAGGGGAAUUUCAUAGUGGCAAAUAGCUGCAAUGGGGGGAGAAUCCUAAUGGACUGAAUGAUCUUAACAACUGCCCAUUGGACUCUUUCUAGCCAAGUCAUUGUUUCCCUGUUGUGGUGUUGCUUCUGAAAAAAAAAAAAAAGUCUGAUUGUGCUGAGAGCCAUAGCCAAAUAGGAAUGACACAUGGCAAUUUCCUUGUCAGCCUACCCAAUGUUGCUUAGAGGGAGGACUCUCCAUUGUGGAAAUGGGCUUGCCUUGGACCCAGGUCAUUUGCAGUGACAUUGCAUGAAUGUUUGAGAAAGGUGACCCUGCUCAAGGACCAGGGCGGAUCCAGGUUUAGGGCGGUUCCAGGUUUAGGGUGUGGAUCCUGCUGAGAAUAGGGCGGUUCCAGGUUUAAAGUGGAUCCUGCUGGGAAUAGGGCUUAUUCUGCUGCCUCGGGCCCCACUCCUUGAGUUCCCCUUGAGUUCUUACGGGAUUCAGAGAGUAUUUGGGAUGCAGAGCCCGGUGGAGUGUGUGGAUUUUCCCAGAACGUGCGUGUAGAGUGCCGGUGAGAGUUCAGGAAUAAAGAAUUGCUGUUUGAAUCUACAAGGCGGUGUGGUGGCCCGGUUAUUUUGUGCCCAGCCAGACUGCGGCAUGAUUGAAUUCGCUAUUGAACUUUCAUUUCCUUGGAAUAAUAAUAUAACAACAACAGUAGCAAAACAGAGCACCAAGACCCACCAUCUACUGAACAUCUUCUCAGUGUAAGUACCAGAAAAGGCACAUUUUACUUGAUUGUACUUCAUCAUCACAAAACUUUAUGUGAGAAAAAUUAUCACCUGCCUUUUAGAUAUAAAACGAUUGAAUCUUAGAAAAAUUAAAUAAACUUUUUGACAUCAUCUUCUAGUAAGUGCUAGGCCAGGAUUUGUAUCCAUAGCUAUUGAUUUGAAAGUCAUUUUGUUACCCUUCCUUUCACAGUACAGGACAUACUUACUCUUCACAACCUACAGUCCUGGAAAUUUAUUGUCAACAAAUGCAGCCGACUAUGGGCUACUACUUGUCUGCCCCACCUGAGCUCUGUAUGACCUGGAUUCAGAAUGUAGCUGGGCCUAAGAAAAAUGCUUUCCUGUAAGCAUUUUCCUGUAAAUGCUUUUCCUGUAAGCAUUCCUUACCAAUAAGGAAUGGGCUCAGAGGUACAGCCAAUCCCAUGUCCCACUGAGACCAGGAUAUGUCUUAGUUUUCAUUCAUAAAGCAAAGUGACUCUAUCUGAAGCUUGACUCCUACAUGGCUUGAUUUAUUUCAGGGAUCUUGGAAAAGACACCCAGUGGAAAAACCCUAUAGUCUAGCUAAACAUUUGUCAAUUUUGUUGUUCAUUUGUAAGAACCUACUUUUGGUUUCAUUUCAUCUCAUUUUUUUUCCAUCCUCUAUUUUAUCAAUGUCUGUUUUCACCUUUACUACUUCCUUCCUUGUUCCUGUUUGGGGUUCUGUUUGCUCUUACUUUUCUAGUCUUAGGACAUGAGGUUAGUUAUUAUUUGGGGACUUGUUUUUAAUAUAUGCAUUUAUAGCAAUAAAAUUUUCUCUAAGCAUUCUGUUCCCUUUGCCCCACAUUUGUUGAGAUUUUGUUUUUAUUCAUCUCAAAGUACUUCUAAUAUUCCUUGUGACUUCUUUGAUCUACCUAGAAUUGUGUAUUUAAUAUUCACAUAUUUGUGAAAUUUUCAAAUUUUCUCAUGUUAUUUAUUUCUAAUUCUAUUCCAUUAUGUUCAUACAGUGUACUCUGCAUAAUCACAUCUUUUCAGGUUACUGAACACUUUUUUGUGACCCAAGAAUUGUCUGUCUUGGAGAAUGCUCCAUGUGUGCUUGAGAAGAAUGUGUAUUCUGCUGCUUUAGCAUGGAUUGUUCUAUAGAAAACUACUACAUCUAGUUGGUUUAUAAUGUUUUCCAUGUCUUAUAUUUCCUUGUUAAUCUUCUGCUUAGUUCUAUCAAUUAUUGAAUUCUAUAUCUUAUUGAUAUAUAAUUCACAUUCCACAAAACACAUACAACUCAAUGGCUCUUAGUAUAAUCACUAAGUUGUGCAACCAUCACUCCUACCCAAUUACUAAAUAUUUUUAUAAUCCCCCAAAGAAACCCCAUUAGCCAUCCACUCCACCAUUCAUUCUCAGAGGCCACGUUAACCUGCAGCAUGAUUUCUAAGGGCUUGGGCCCUCACAGAUGAAUUUGAGAUUGCUUCCUUUGGCUCCAAGUCACUCCUUUUAAAAAAAAAAAAUCUCGAACAUAUUGACAAGCAAAGUAAUUAAAGGAUAAAGUAUGGACUAUUACUUAGAAUUCAGAUGUACAUUGAAAUUAGAGGUAGACAACCUGUAUUCAAAUUAAGGAGCCACGACUUGGCACUCCAUCCAUAGAACAUGCCACCUCCUCUAUUAUUUUUCUUACCCAUAGAAGGAAAUAAUGGUACCUUUACAGAAUUUUUAAGCAAAACAAGUGAAAUAUUGGGAUUUAUAAGUAAAGGUCUAUAUGGAUGUGAAUUGUUUUUCCAUAACUCCACAGGGGAGUUAUGGAGCUUGCAGUUUGCCCAAAUCCUCAAGUCUGGAAUAGAAAAUGAUAAUCUCCAGAGACAUGAGCCCAUGAAGUCCACCUUCUUCAGCUUGACCAUCUAGAUGGAAAGUGAUUGAUCCUUUUCUACAACAUCUUCAGAAGAUGGUCCCAACAUUCCUUAAGGUGUCAUUUGUAAACAGGUGUUCACCAGCCUCCAAUCCUUGCAUCACUGCUACUUCUCCGGGAUCUGGACAUGCAGUCUGCUGCUGAGCAAACCUAAUAAUCUUGACAGUGGUCAGCCCUGUGUUGUUGGGCCACAACCUUUUCCCAGAAUAAUAGCACAGGAGUGACCAGCUCAGGAAUCAUCACAAAAUAAUCUCAUAUGCCAUAACAACAUUUCCUACUGCAGUCUCAUCUCGAUUCUACCUCUGGUGGCAAACAAGAUCUGGUCAACAUCAUCAAUCAGAUUAUCUUGCUAAGAACUUAAACUCCGUAACCAAUCACCUUCACUUUUGUGGGCAAAUUAACUCAGGUUUUAUCUUACUUGAUCAGCCUACUUUUCAAUAUUGGGAUCCCCUUGGUGGCUAAAUUCCUAAUUAUAUCCAUACAAAGUUGCACUGGCUAGAAAAUAUACUAAUUACCUAAUAUUUCUUUGAUCUGCUGUGUCAGAGCCAAGGGUUGUUGUCUAAAAAGAAGAGAUUAUGAAAGAAAAUAAGUACCUUUCUCAAGGCCACUAGCUUAAUUAGUCAGUUGUGAGACAUAGAACACUGGCUCUAAUUGGUCUGCACAUUCAAAUCAUCAGGGGUGUACUUACAUUUUUGAUGCCCAGACAUGUACUACAGAUCUAUUACAUCAGAAUCUCUUGGGGGUAGAACUGAAAUCAGUAUUUUUAAAACUCUUGAUAUGACUCUAACAUACAGCCAAGAGCCAAUGAUUUAGAAAAUGAUUCUCAAACUUUGAUGCACAAUAAAUAGCAUUACUUAAGGAUGCUAAAAUGUCAAUUCUGAUUCAGGAGGACAGAAUCACGGGAGGGCUGAAAUUCUACAUUUCUAACAAGCUCUAGGGGUUGGUAAUACUACAGAUCCAUAGGCUAUACUUUGAACAGCAAGAUCAAAACAGCAUUAGUUUUGACUUUGCUGCACAUUAGAAUUCACUGAGAAGCUUAUAAAACUGUCAGUGCAUGGAUGCACCUGAUAUCAGACUAAAUUAGACUUGGCAAGAAUGGGACACUGAUAUUAGUGUUCCUUAACAUUCAUCAGAUGAUUCUACUGUUCAGUGCAUUUGUGGAGCAGUGACUGAGAAUUUCAGCCCUUCUAUCCUGGUUUCAUCCAGUGAGCAGGAAGGAUGAACCAUAGAGAAAUUAUAAUUCACAUAACAAUUUUUUUAGAAUAACACACGUCAUGUCUGAUACAUCUCUAAUUCAUCAGUCAAUCCUACCAGGUCAAUCUUGAUCCAUAUAACGAAUGCACAUACUUCCAUGACUGCCCUCCAAGAACCACCAUCAUUUCUUGCCCUAAGGAUGGGAUAGCACUUCAACUGAAACCAUCUCCACACUGAAAUGACUUGCACAUUGAAACGAACUCCCAAUGGGAAAGGCCUACUAACCAGAGUAGUCUCCCAACUGGAAUAUUCUCCCAAUAGGAACAGCUUCCUGACAUGCUUUGUCUGUCCUGCCUUCCUAUGUCCUCUAACAACAGCCAGAUUGGCCUUUUUAUAACAUUAAUUACAUCAUGAAUUAUAUCAUUAAUUAGAUCAUGAAAGGUCAUCAUGAUAUUCCAUGGAACUAAAAGAUAAUCCACAUCCUUGACCAUGACCACUAACUCUUCUUUUUUUGUUUACCCACCUAGAUCUAUCUCUUUUCAUUGGUCUCUGAGGCCAGUCUUCACUAGCUUGUCCACAUAGGUCUCCUUGCUGAGUGUGAAUAUCCCAAGAACAUCCAUUUUGGGGACCUUUGCACUUGUCACUUGUUUACAAAACUAAUCUGCACACAGUCAAUCCCUUUUUGUCAUGUAGUACAUAAGUGCCACCUCUUAUGAGAGGCUUUCUUUGUCUACUACCCUAAAAUUCCCAUUCUAUUCUUCCAGUCUCUUUGAAUCACAUCACCAUAUUUUAUGUUGUUUUUAGAUAGUAUUUAACAUAGCUGACUCAUUCCUGUGUUCAAUAAAAUGUUUACGGAGCACCUAUCAUGUUUUAAUGGCUCUUCCAGGAAAGAGUGAUAGGUACGUGGGCAAGACAGUCAAGUUCAUAGCCUUAUGGAAUUUACAGUCCAGCUAAAUUCUCACUUGUGGCCUGAAUUAUCAUAUACCAUGUUCUCUCUCUCUCUCUCUCUCUCUCUCUCUCUCCCCCCCCCCCCCCCACCCUUUUUUGGCUGCUGCCUGUCUCCCUCUGCUAGACUCCCACAUAGUAGGGAUCUUGGAAAAUUUUCCUUCACUGUGUUCUUGGUUUCUAGAAUACCCAUAACAUCAGUGAUCAAAUAAAUGUUUAAGAUUAAGUAGCUUUAAAACACUGAAAAUUCUGAGAUUGAUGAAUUCUAUCGAUCAAAGCACAAAUUUUCUUUUCUUCUUAUCCUUUAACCUCUUCUUAACUCACUUUAUCUCCUAAUGUCAAGAGCUUUUGAAUAAAAUCUAAUCCCAUGUUAUCCAAAAUAUAGACCCCAGAACAGCAUUACUAAUAUCACCUGGAACUCUUGAAAAUGCAUUCUCAGGCCCUAUCCCAGAACUACUGAACAUGCAUUUUAUGAGAUUCCCAGGGGAUUCCUAUGCACGUUAGAGUUUAACAGCAAUAGAUAUUCCAUAACCCCUUUGUUAGAGGCCAAGAGAAGGGACUCUCCCAGGAAUGAUAUGCAAUUCUUCUGACCCAUAGCAUGAAGCUUCACAAGUAUCAUAUUGGUAUUUCAGUAAGGGACUGAGACACAAAAUCUGUAACCUGAAAAGUGUCCCCAAUGGCAAAUAUUUCUGGAAGAAUCGCCCUUAGAUAGCUACCAAAUCCCAGUGUACAUGUGCCUACCACCCUUUCCUCUUACUCAACCAAGCACCUGUUGCCAAAUGACUUCCAGGUGUGAGUGGUUCCUCUCUAAAGCCAUUCCUUGAUACACAUCCAGAUCCUGUUUCCUCCACACAGAAACUCAUGUUGUCCUUUUAUUCUCAACCAUCAGGCAGUUUCCAUUCAAAACCUUUCCUUAGAGAGGGCUGUUCUCUGCUCACCUUUCAAAAGAUAACAGGUGUCCUUUGAGAAUUAAGCUGUGCAUAUGCAACUCUGAGGGCUUUGGAAAUGCAGCUCCACCAGCACAGCCCUGGCAAGCACUCUGACUGCUGUUUUCCAUACGGGUGUUAUUCUGACUCUGCAAUGCAGUAGAUUCUCUCUGCUGUCAGGGCUAACCAACUUCUGGGAUGUCACAUCCUCACCUGACUCUGUAGGAAGGCUUGUAGUAAAGCUAUUCCAUUUCUAAAGUAUGUUGCAAUAUGUGUAGCAGAUUCUAUUUCUUUGACUUAGCAGUUAAUAAAGAAGGGGGUAUUUUAAAAAGCUGCACUUUACCUUCUGUGUUCAAGCAUCUGCAUGUAGAUCCCCUGGCUCAGGCUAACCCUGAAGAUGUUACUCCCUUACGGGGCCCCAGAUAAAUUCACCUAGUCUCAUUCCAGCCUAAAAUAACUAAAAAGAUAAGAAAAAUCUAAAAUGAUAAAUAUAAAAUAAAUCACUGAAUUCUCCUCCUGAAAAAGUAAAACUGAAUCUUCUCCCAGCAAAACAGAAUUUUGAAAGGCUAUAAUUUAUACUCAAAAAUAAUGAAAAGACAUCAUUUACCUGGCCUUCAUGUUGGUGGAAGCAGCAGGGAUUUGGGAAUGAGGCAGAUUUGGGUUUGGAUCAUGUUCUGCUGCUUAUGACACUGCAACCUGGAACAUGCCACCUGAUCUCUCUGACCCCAAGGAUUCUGUGUCACUGUAGGGGACUAAUCCACUGCAAGGGGAAAUUGAACCUGCCUGAGACCUGGGGUGUGGUAGGCAUCAAUAGACACAGUAGAAUGAUUCCAACAGUUGUAAUUAUUAGUGUUCACAGCCUUCACCAGCAAUAGUAGCAGCAGCAUAUAAAUACACCAUCUACAUUCACCAGGUAAGUGGCUAUGGAUCUGGGAUUUAAAUGGACUUAAACACUGAAGGUGUGCAAGUGUAUACAUAAUAGAUGAGGAUAAUCAGUCAACAGGAAACAUUAAUUAGCAAAUUCCUAAACCAUGGCUUCACUUACAAAGUCAGUAAAGAGGACAAGCAUCUAUUGGCUCACAAGGCCGCAUGGCUGCUAAUAAUAAGAGAUGCCCCCUGUGAGCACAAACAUUCCUAGGUGUCAGUGUGGGUCAGGGUUGGGCAGACAGGACCCAGGCUGAGGCUCUGGCCUGGAUAGUACCUCAGGAUUUCAGCAGACACAAGCAGGAACAAAAUUCGGAACCCUCACACAUCAGAUGGAGCACUAAUCUCUAGUGUAUAUAAAGAACUCAAAAAGCUAAACACCAAAAAAAAAAAAAACAAAUAACCUUAUCAACAAAUGGGCCAAGGACAUGAGCAGACACUUCUCAGAAGAGGAUAUUCAAUCAAUCAACAAAUAUAUGAAAAAAUGUUCAUCAUCUCUAGCAAUCAUAGAAAUGCAAAUCAAAACUACUCUAAGAUACCAUCUCACUCCAGUCAGAAUGGUAGCUAUUAUGAAGACAAACAACAAUUUGUAGGUAAAUAGGUGGAGUUGGAGAAGAUAAUGCUAAGUGAAGUUAGCCAAUCCCCCCAAAAAACAAAUGCCAAAUGUUUUCUCUGAUAUAAGGAGGCCGAUUCAUAGUGGGGUAAGGAGGGGGAGCAUGGUGCCAUUUCCAGUCUCAGGGAUCAUUCUUAGGCUUUUUCCCUUUAAUAAAAGCUUGUCUCAAGAUGGGAUAUCAUAUCAAUUAUAAGCAACUCACAGAUUGGAACAAAUCUCAGAAAGUAAACCGUAAUGCAUGACAUAGAGUAACUUAGAAAACAUCUCUGGGGAAUUACCUGGAAAGAAAAAAAAAGUUCUGUAAAAGAAGCCUUUUUGUCCUAAGGUGUUGGGGCCUAUACUUGCCACAGAGCUGCGGGUGUGUGAGGAAACAGCCUUGUGACUCUGGUCUUGUGAUAUUUCUGUGUACGUGGCGAUUUGAGUUUGAGAAAUGGCUUCCGUAUAUGUGCCUGUACAGUUAUGAGAUAUGGCUUCCGCAAACGUAGCAGGAUAUUAGAAUAAAUCCCCAGCAACAGGGACGUGCAUAUUUCUUAUUGGGUCCCAUCUCAUCUCUCCUCUACUUCCUACUUUCCUCUGCUAUAAAAGUCACCCCCCCACAUAAUAAAGUUGAGCUGCUGUGCCAUCACAGCUGACUCAACUCCCGACUCGGUGUGAUUUUUGGCCAGGUGAGGUGCCAGGGGCCGGGUCGAGACACUCAUCAUCUCGUUCAGCCCCGGAGACACUAGCUGGUCUAGUGCUCUCCCCUAAUCUCUGUCAGAGGGCGGUUCCGACACUGAGGAAGGAAUUUGGGCUGCAGCUAGGAAAGAGGCUGGGGAAGCCCCUCUUGGAGCAUCUCAAAGUGUCCAAAAUGGGCAGUUCCUCAUGCAAUAUCAGUGUUUUCAUUGUCACCACUGACAACUAUACCCUGGUGCCAGGGACUUCACAAAUGUCAUCCAUGAUCCUCGCAGUAACCCAGCAAGACAGCUCAUCUUCCCAACACUUUCAGUCUCAACUUCAGGGCUUCUUGAUCCCUAGGCUAUUCUAGAACAUUCUAAAAACACCUCACAUUAUUCCCCCACAGCCUUUUUCAGAUCACAUAAUUAUUUGGACCGUGAUGUCUUCUUCUUCUUCUUCCCUGGAUUCCAAGACCAUAGGAUAAGAACCAUGUCUUCUUCAUGCUUAUCUUCUACUCUUCAGCAACCUGAAAAAUGCCUCUAUCAUAGCUAUUCAAUAAAUAUUGUGACUCAUGAAUGACUGAAAUGAGUGAACAUCACUUAACUAUUUCUGAACCCACUUUAUCAAUGAGGAGACUUAGGCUUGGCAUGAAAGUUCAGCUCAAGGUCAAGAUCUAGUUUUAGUAGCUUAAGGACAGCUGAGCCAGUUCUCCCAGGUGCGUCGGCCUCCAGAGCUCCCUCUUGUCCACUCCACACUGAGCCUGGCUCAGCGCUGGGCAGGAACACACUUGCUAGUGGAGUCUGAGGCAUCUGUCUACUUCUUCCUCCUGAUCCUUCCACGUACAAUCUAGUGUCUUUUGAUCUCUGCCCUGGACUCUUGCUAAUUGGAUUUGCCAGGGCAUCGUCACAUCAAGAGUCAGUCACGAAGUCACUCUCUCUGCUGCUGUUUUUCUGGCAAAGAUAAGGACUCAUAACAAAUUUUUUAAAAUGAAAAGAGACUAAGGUCAAGAGUAGUUGUAGAACGCAUAUCUAAGAGGCCCCAUCAAAGCAGAAAACCAUGUGUGGCUUGACGGUGACUUAUGUCACACAUAAGCAGCAAUGACAGAAGAGUUCUGAAUGGUUGAGAGGAAAACCCAGAGUCUUGGAGGCCAUGGGGCAAAGGGUGAGAGCCUGAGGUGCUGGUGAGGGGACCUGAGCCCCCAGGUCCUCAUUGGGCAUGAUGACAAAACCCACUAAGCAUGAUUGCUCCAAGGGCUAAGUCAUAUAUUAUAUUUGGAAAAUGAUUGCAAAAGCCUUCAUGAGUAUGAAAAGUUGAAGGCUGACAAAUAAAGAUUGAGAAGCGAACAUCUUAUUUCCUUGGACAGGCUGACCUCACAAGAACCUCACAAAAGUAUAUAUAUUUUAUGACAUUUGAAUACCUGGGAACAGGGAAGUUAUCUCAGAGUAGGGAAGUCGUACCUUUGUAUGCAGGAAACAUUUUAGGUUUGAAUUCUGCAGACUGUGCCUAUUCAAGAAAACAAUCCUCAGGGAAUCCAUCAGACUCAUCCAUAGCUCAAGGAGCAGCUUUAAAGUUGUUGGCGUCAUUUGCAGCACAAACUUAGAUUAAGCAAUUUAUAGGCAGGAGAGAAUGUCUAAUUUGCACAUAACUGAUGGCAGGAAGAUGAAAGAUGAGUUCAUAAUAUUUCGGCUGACUCUGCAAUACAGCUUGGAGCCUUUUUUCUAAUUUCCUUCAAAAUUCAAAGAAAGAGAAAUACAAGCAGAACAAUUUCACUGCCUAAGGAUGGGACUCUGCCCUGUGCUCCAAGCCCUAUCCAAUUUGCUCCUAUCCUCCCAGUUCAGUCUCACCUGGAACAGGGCCAUGGUGGAAUUUGCUUUCCAGGGUAUCUCACAGCACCCCCGUGUCUACCCAGCUCUGGACUCUCCUUUUACUCAUGAAUUUACUGCACUUCAUUCACAGGUGCUGGGUACUGGGCGAUUCUGGGAAAUGUGACCUCAGAGAUGACAUCACCCACAGCCGACUACUGUGACAUGUGCCUCUCCCCAGUUUCCAUCAUUUGAUGUCCUGCUCCUCUUUCCCAAACAUUGCUAUUUCUUGAUUUCUCUUCUGAACCCUGUAAUCAGGCACAACUUUCCUCCUUGCUUUGUGACUCACUGAAUAGCUGUCAUCUAUUAAAAUUCUGUAGCAAUUCCUAGGGUGGGUGCAAUACUUUAACAAGUGGUGUGGGCUAAAUGCUCUGGACAAGUCACCUGGCUUAAUUUUCAAAAUAACACUAUGAAGUAGAUAGUAUCAUUAAGCUCAGACUUACAUAAGAUCACACAGAGCUGGAGGUGCAAUGUGUCCAAGGUCACUCAGCUGUGUGUGAUGAAGAGGGCUUCAAACCCAGGCAGUCUGGCUUCAAACCCAGACCAAUGCAAUUGGGCACAUCAUCUACCUCCACACUUGAUCUCAGCCAUUUUUCUCUAGGCUGUGACUUUCAUGAAAGCAGGGUUUGUCUCAUUCACCUCUCAUUCUACCCUGCCUACCACCCACUAACCCCUGUCAAGUGGGAUAGGUAAUGAGUCUGUAUUUGUUGGAUUAAAAUGAAUUCCAUAGAUACCCAGUUUAAAUUUAUGACCUUUUGGAUUCUUAUACCACAUCAGCUCACUUUGUACUUCAACAUUUUUGCAGUUUCAUUUGCAUAAACUCUUGGUGUUUGUGUCUCCAGAUGUCUUAUCACGCUACAGAGCUGGCUGAGUUUACUUUGACUCAUUCAGCGGCUGUUACAGGAAGUGGGCAGGGAAUUCGAUUUGUCCAAGAGGCUGAAAAGCAUUUUAGAGGAUGGAUGGAUCAACUAAGAAGGCUCCUGGGCUUUGCCAGGAGGACACAACUCAGGAAAUGCUUUGAACAGAGGUCCCUGCAGACUCAUCCUUCUUAGCCAGAGGCCACCUGGAAUGGUUACCUCUGUCCUCACAUCACAAGGUCCAGGCUGCAGGAUCCAACCUAAAAAUUCAGCCACAUUUUCUCUCUUAGCAAUUCUGGAGAAACUUUUUUGCUAGGAGUCAUAAGUCUGAUUGCAGCAGAGUAACUAGGGCAUUGAUCUUGUAAUAGUGCCUGAUCUCUAGUCAAGGCGUUCACUGAGACAAAAAUGUGUAGCUCCCAAUGACAAUAAGUCCACACAGACCUCAGGAAACUGAAGGGGAUAAGUGUGAGGGGCCUGACAGCACUGCUCUUAGGAUUUAAGCAGAAUAAAGCAAAAGACAGCCAUUUAUCCUGUAAUUUGUAGCUAUGGUUUUGGUCUCUAGUGUCCCCAAAAUGCUCAUUGAGUAUUAAAGGCUUGGUCCUCAGUGAGGUGAUACUAGGAGGUAGUGGAAGUUUCAAAGUUUUUUCACGUCCUAGCAUGAGGUGAGUGCUUUUGCCCUACUACAAGCCCCAACCAUGAUGUACAGGAUUGCAAGAGCAAUGGGACCAGUGGGUCAUAGACCGAAAUUCCCUAAACUGAGCAAAAAUAAGUCUUUAUUCUUUAUAAACUGAUUAUCUCAGGUAUUUUCUUAUAGUGCCAGAAAGAUAUCUAAUAUGUUUGGUAAAAAAAAAAAAAAGUGUGUUUUCUCAUUUACUGGAUUAAAUUUCUUAAAGACAUAAAAAUUAUUUGGUACUUUGUGAUCUGAAUAGGUAGGCAGUAAUAGCAUGACUAUGACUAUAAACCUCAUCAACUGUGACAUCAUAGUUUUCAAGGUCAAAGGAAUUGGCAAUGAAAUUGGGACACUGACUACCAGUUUCCCAGUACUGAACCCAUAUCUUAUUCACUUCCAGCAAGGGGUGGCUUCUCAGGAAGCCCAAAUAUAGAAAAAAAUUCCAAUACCAAGGAAACAGGUGAAUAAAUUUUGAUAUACUCAUUGAAAUAUUGCACAUUAGAUGCAUAAACUACUACAACACAUGACAACAUAAAGAAAUGUUUCUGCCACAGUAUUCAAUGAACAAUGUGAUGAACAAAAGAGCACGUACUCAAUGAUUCCAUUUCUGUGAAGCUCAUGAAUGUCCCGAACUCUUCUAAGCAGAAUGCACUCAGUGGAAGGAAUAUUGAAGCAAUAGGCUUGUUCUGUAACUACAUUAUUUCCCAUUUGAAUAUUUUGCAUGUGAUUUCCCUCCCCCAGCCCCAAGUGCCUGGUGGGCACCUGCUCAUCCUUUAACACUUAGCUCAGUGACGACAUUCAGAAAAGCUUCCUUUACCUACCACAGAGGACCUCUGGUAACUGGAUACCGGACACUAGUAACAUGUUUCCUCUGGAGAAAUGGAGUGGAUUUAUGAGCACAAUGGCUAGUAAAGAAUCCUACUGCUACUGGAUACUCUUGCUGAAUGGGUUACCAUUUAAAAUAGAACUUAGGACAAAAAAAUAAGUAAAGGCAACAGUUAGGAACCUGAGUUAGCAGUUUACCACAGUUUGGAAUAAAGGGAUAAAUGUUGGAUAACCUCCCACCCCCAGGAGCUUUCUCCCUCCCACCCACCACAACCCAGAGGGCACUAUUUCUUUCUAAAGAAGGCAAUAGCAAGUGAAGAGAGACUUCUUUUAAAAACUCUACAAUCUGGUCAGAGCAAGGCCCUUACUUCAUGAACAGAGCUGAUGAAAUGUAAAAUAUACAAAUAACAGAAUUGACUUUAUUACCCAGACUAAAACUUGACUGGACCAAAUGUCCCAAGAUGGAAACCCUUUUACUUGCUUUCUGGGGUCCCUCAGGCCUCUUCUGCGUGAUGAUAUCCCUCUAGAAGGAGAUAUGGAGAAUUAUUAUAAAACAUCAUGCUUUUCACCUUGAAAUCAAAGGAUUUGACUUUGGAAAGCUUGGAACAUUUUUACAAAACAGGAUCCAGAAUUGAUUAUGGAUAGCAUAAAUUUAAUGUUACCAUAAACUGAAAACCACAGCUAAGAUGCUGCAUUCUAGAAUCUUAAAAUCCUCCAGUCUACUCUUAAAUUGCUCUCAUAACAAAUGUGAACUGGUGAGAUAUUUAUGACACAUUCAAUCUGUACAUGACAUGAAAAUAAUACAUAGUUCUAAUUCUAUUCCAUUUACCCUCUAAUAAAUUAUAAGUAGGAAGAAACUGCAACGAAAGGAUGGAUCUCAAGUUUCACAAAAGGCUAUGGUUCAAGCCACAUUUCUAAUAUUUUGUAAUGUGAUAUUUAGCCCAUCACUAAAUUUUCUAAAUCUUAACUUCAUCCUUCACUGUAAAGCAGAUUUUUUUUGAGAAUUGCCAAAAUUUGCAGUCGAAAAGCAUCAAAUAUACAGUUAGUGUUCAAUAAAAUCUUUCAUGUCCUUUGUGUUUUUUUCCUUAUGGUAUAUUAUUAGUAUGGCUUACAGAAAUCAUAAAACUAUUACCUCUCACGUCUCCAACAAAGCAGCAGAACACGAAUCAGUUAAAGAGUCAAUAUGAUGUAGUUGUUGAACUUUAGUAUAGAAAAAGCCACAAAUAAAAUAUUCUCAGUUACUUUGGGAGAAUUUAC